CUACUGCCGGCGACCGGCGCACGGGUGAGUAACACGUAUGGAACCUGCCCGCAGCAGGGGGACAACCCGCCGAAAGGCGGGCUAAACCCGCGUACAUGCCACCGGGGCAUCCCGGAGGCAGGAAAGGCUUCGGCCGGACAGGGAUGGGCAUGCGGCGCAUUAGGCAGUAGGCGGGGUAACGGCCCACCUAACCGACGAUGCGUAGGGGUUCUGAGAGGAAGGUCCCCCACACUGGUACUGAGACACGGACCAGACUCCUACGGAAGGCAGCAG
RNAcentral lists this ribosomal RNA (273 nucleotides) under uncultured bacterium. RNAcentral's name for it is "partial 16S ribosomal RNA". It matches the Rfam family "Bacterial small subunit ribosomal RNA", at positions 82 to 354 of the family's 1533-position model. The record is from RNAcentral.